This 72-nucleotide transfer RNA is filed under the name Camelus bactrianus (Bactrian camel). It matches the Rfam family "tRNA". Rfam says of the family: Transfer RNA (tRNA) molecules are approximately 80 nucleotides in length. Their secondary structure includes four short double-helical elements and three loops (D, anti-codon, and T loops). RNAcentral also lists the same sequence under 3 other names. The record is from Rfam by way of RNAcentral. Lineage: Eukaryota; Metazoa; Chordata; Mammalia; Artiodactyla; Camelidae.
GAGGCUAUAGCUCAGUGGUAGAGUGCAUGAUUAGCAUGCAUGAGGUCCUGGUUUCAAGCCCCAGUACCUCCA